UGAGGAAUCUUCCGCAAUGGACGAAAGUCUGACGGAGCAACGCCGCGUGUAUGACGAAGGCCUUCGGGUUGUAAAGUACUGUCUUUGGGGACGAACGGUAUCUAUGUAAAUAAUGCAGAUACAUGACGGUACCCAAGGAGGAAGCCCCGGCUAACUACGUGCCAGCAGCCGCGGUAAUACGUAGGGGGCGAGCGUUGUCCGGAAUCAUUGGGCGUAAAGGGCGCGUAGGCGGGUCCAUUAAGUCUGGUGUAAAGGCAGGGGCUCACCCUGGAAGGCACCGGAACUGUAUCUUGAGGACAGGAGAGGAAAGCGGAAUUCCACAGUGUAGCGGUGAAAUGCGUAGAUAUGUGGAGGAACACCAGUGGCGAAGGCGGCUUUCUGGACUGUAACUGACGCU
RNAcentral lists this ribosomal RNA (397 nucleotides) under uncultured bacterium. Its description in RNAcentral is "partial 16S ribosomal RNA". It matches the Rfam family "Bacterial small subunit ribosomal RNA", at positions 355 to 747 of the family's 1533-position model. The record is from RNAcentral.